Molecule: ribosomal RNA, 253 nt
Filed under: uncultured prokaryote
Description: partial 16S ribosomal RNA
Rfam family: Bacterial small subunit ribosomal RNA
Source: RNAcentral
UACGGAGGGUGCAAGCGUUGUCCGGAUUUAUUGGGUUUAAAGGGUGCGUAGGCGGCUUGUUAAGUCAGGGGUGAAAGACUGCAGCUCAACUGUAGCAGUGCCUUUGAUACUGAUGAGCUUGAGUAUAGCUGAGGCCGGCGGAAUUUAUGGUGUAGCGGUGAAAUGCAUAGAUACCAUAAAGAACACCGAUUGCGAAGGCAGCCGGCUAAACUACAACUGACGCUGAGGCACGAAAGCGUGGGGAUCGAACAGG